Molecule: transfer RNA, 61 nt
Filed under: Manacus vitellinus (golden-collared manakin)
Lineage: Eukaryota; Metazoa; Chordata; Aves; Passeriformes; Pipridae
Rfam family: tRNA
About the family: Transfer RNA (tRNA) molecules are approximately 80 nucleotides in length. Their secondary structure includes four short double-helical elements and three loops (D, anti-codon, and T loops). Further hydrogen bonds mediate the characteristic L-shaped molecular structure. tRNAs have two regions of fundamental functional importance: the anti-codon, which is responsible for specific mRNA codon recognition, and the 3' end, to which the tRNAs corresponding amino acid is attached (by aminoacyl-tRNA synthetases). tRNAs cope with the degeneracy of the genetic code in two manners: having more than one tRNA (with a specific anti-codon) for a particular amino acid; and 'wobble' base-pairing, i.e. permitting non-standard base-pairing at the 3rd anti-codon position.
Source: Rfam by way of RNAcentral
UUAGCUCAGUUAGUUAGAGCAUGGUGCUAAUAACACCAAGGUCAUGGGUUAGAUCCCCCUA